Molecule: ribosomal RNA, 757 nt
Filed under: uncultured phototrophic eukaryote
Lineage: Eukaryota
Description: bacterial SSU rRNA
Rfam family: Bacterial small subunit ribosomal RNA
Source: RNAcentral
AGUGGCGAACGGGUCAGGAACACGUAAGAAUCUGCCCCUUGGUCGGGGACAACUCUUGGAAACGAGAGCUAAUACCCGAUACGCUGUGGAGUGAAAGAAUUUCGCCGAGGGAUGAUCUUGCGUCUGAUUAGCUAGUUGGUAUGGUAAUGGCAUACCAAGGCGACGAUCAGUAGCUGGUCUGAGAGGAUGAACAGCCACAUUGGAACUGAGACACGGUCCAAACUCCUACGGGAGGCAGCAGUGGGGAAUUUUCCGCAAUGGACGAAAGUCUGACGGAGCGACGCUGCGUGAAGGAUGACGGCCUGCGGGUUGUAAACUUCUUUUCUCGAAGAAGAAGCUCUGACGGUAUUCGAGGAAUAAGCAUCGGCUAACUCCGUGCCAGCAGCCGCGGUAAUACGGAGGAUGCAAGUGUUAUUCGGAAUGAUUGGGCGUAAAGCGUCUGUAGGCUGUAUAGAAAGUCUUUUGUUAAAUGCCUCGGCUCAACCGAGAUCCAGCAAAGGAAACUUCUAUACUUGAGGGAAGUAGAGGUACAGGGAAUUCCCGGUGGAGCGGUGAAAUGCGUAGAUAUCGGGAGGAACACCAAUAUGGCGAAGGCACUGUACUGGGCUUUACCUGACGCUCAGAGACGAAAGCUUAAGGAGUGAUUAGGAUUAGAUACCCUAGUAAUUUUAGCCGUAAACGAUGGAAACUCACUGCCGAGCGAAAUACAACGAGCGGUGGUCAAGCUAACGCGUGAAGUUUCCCGCCUGGGGAUUAC